RNAcentral lists this ribosomal RNA (170 nucleotides) under uncultured bacterium. RNAcentral describes it as "partial 16S ribosomal RNA". It matches the Rfam family "Bacterial small subunit ribosomal RNA", at positions 340 to 524 of the family's 1533-position model. The record is from RNAcentral.
UACGGGAGGCAGCAGUGGGGAAUUUUCCGCAAUGGGCGAAAGCCUGACGGAGCAAUACCGCGUGAGGGAAGACGGCCUAUGGGUUGUAAACCUCUUUUUUCAGGGAGGAAUCAAUGACGUGUACCUGAAGAAUAAGCAUCGGCUAACUCCGUGCCAGCAGCCGCGGUAAU